This is a long non-coding RNA of Chinchilla lanigera (long-tailed chinchilla), 696 nucleotides long. RefSeq lists it as uncharacterized. The transcript is spliced from 3 exons. Lineage: Eukaryota; Metazoa; Chordata; Mammalia; Rodentia; Chinchillidae. The record is from RefSeq and is a predicted model, not a curated record.
CCCAACACUUCAUCCAUCUCACUUCCCCAGUCCCUGAUGAGGAGUCCCUGACUCUCCCCAGGCCCUGGGCCCUGCUCCAGGCCCCAGGGCCACCCUACUAUAAAUAGCCCCUCGGGUUUCAUCUGCUGCUGAUCCACAGCCACUUUUGGAGGAAGCCACCACAGCUGCUUCGAACAACUGGAAGCCACAACUUAGCCAAGACUCAGCCGAAGCUUCAGGUGGGCACCGAUCAUCACUCAGACACCCGUGGGUGGCUCAAGAUUACCACCCUAGGCUCCAUUAUUUACUGCCUUCUUCCUCUCCCUACAGCAAGAGCGACCUGUCUCCAUACGCGAAGCUGCCCCAUCAGACCCGGCUGCUACACCAUCCUUGCUCAUUGGCACAACCAGGCGUUGCCUCGUGCAGUGGCUUCCCUUCAUGCCAAGAUGGAGAGUUCCCUCAUGCAUGAAGCCCUCCCUGACCACCACACCAAGCAGGGAUCUGAGCGCUAGUCAGCCUCCCUAUCUGCCGAUGAUCUCCGCAUAGGAAGGAUCUCACUGUGGGAAUAUAUGCUUUUGUUUGCCUACAACUGUGUUAUUUACAAUUCUUACUAUACCUUCAUCUACCAACAUUUUUAUCAGCCUGAAUGGUUGAUACAUUGUGUCAACUUGAGACUUCUCGAAGUUUAACUAAGCAAUUCAGCAGGGAGCCAAGGUC